Molecule: long non-coding RNA, 1002 nt
Filed under: Equus asinus (donkey)
Lineage: Eukaryota; Metazoa; Chordata; Mammalia; Perissodactyla; Equidae
Description: lncRNA (ENSEASG00005035794.1)
Source: RNAcentral
UUGAGAUCUGCUUAUUCCACACUGGUUAUUUCAUUGAGUCUCAUAACACCCCUGUAUAUAAGGAUCACUCAGCAGGGAGGAUGUGGGCCUGGAGCUUCUAGGGACCACCAUGUGGAGGGCACCCAUGAGAGAGAAGGCAGCACGGAGGUUGUGAUAUAGAAAGUAUUGCUGACUUUAUUUUUGGAUGAGGAAACUGCGACUUGGAGCCACGAGAUGACUCGCCCCGGCCUUUGGUGAGCGGCAACUAGUUCCGAAAGGGGCCUCCCCCGUUCCUGAGCCAUGGAUGGGCCUGGCCAACUGAAGCAGAGGUGAUGCGACCUUGUAGCUGAGGGCUGAUGCCCAACCAGGCACCGAGCGGGAGACUUGAGAAACCUCAGCAACAGCAGACAUGAAGAAGAAAGCCUUGAAGCUGCGGGGAAACCGCAGCGCUCCUGCUUGCUCUUUGCCACCGGGGCAGGUGGGAGGGGGGCGGGCCGAAGCAUCAGCCAGCCCCAGCUCCGUCCAAACCUGUUCUCCUCUCCCCUGUUGCCCAGUCACUUUAGUGGGCUCCCACCCACCCCUCACCGGCCCUGUGGGCCCACCCAGAGGCAAGUGAUGGGGAAGAACACCAUGACCACCGUCAUAAAAUGGCUGGGACUCAAGUCUUCAACUGACUAAAAAUUUCCAGUUUGGACUGAAUUUCCCUGAACGUGUCUCAAUUAUAUUGUCAGAGGCGGUGAGGAGAAAGAGUCAAGAAAAUUGUGUUUGGUCAAAAAAUACACUUAUCCUGUUUCUUCUCCUCCUGGGUUCUGUAGACAGUCCUACUUGCUCCGUGCACAAGCACCUUGUUCACGACCCUGAGGUGACCACAGCAGGAAGAGAGCACUGGCCAAAUGUUGACAGGAAGGCUGACACUUGAAGGGAUUGCAGCGGCUUAUUUGCAUUUCAACCACACUCUUACAGCAUUGACUGUGGGCCAGCCCUGUCUUAAGUGCCUGAUAAAUAUCAGUUCAAUUAAUCCUC